This is a long non-coding RNA of Acanthochromis polyacanthus (spiny chromis), 1247 nucleotides long. RefSeq lists it as uncharacterized. The record is from RefSeq and is a predicted model, not a curated record. Lineage: Eukaryota; Metazoa; Chordata; Actinopteri; Pomacentridae. The transcript has 2 exons.
GUGAUUAGCACUUUCACCUUGCAGCAAGAAGAUCCCUGGUUCGAAUCCCGGUCUGGGCCUGGGAUCUUUCUGCAUGGAGUUUGCAUGUUCUCCCUGAGCAUGCGUGGGUUUUCUCCGGGCACUCCGGCUUCCUCCCACAGUCCAAAAACAUGCUGAGGUUAAUUGGUUACUCUAAAUUGUCCGUAGGUGUGAAUGUGAGUGUGAUUGUUCGUCUGUAUAUGUAGCCCUGUGACAGACUGGUGACCUGUCCAGGGUGUCCCCUGCCUUCGCCCGAUUCACCUGGGAUAGGCUCCAGCACCCCCCGCGACCCUAGUGAGGAUAAAGUGGUGUACAGAGAAUGGAUGGAUGGAUGGAUGGAUGGAUGGCUGUACACUGGGUUGGUGGUUAGUACAAUGGCCUCGUAGCUACAAGAUCCCCAGGUCAGGUCCCUUCCACAUAUAGUUUGCAUGUUCUCCCUGUUGUGUACUACUGUAUACCCUACUGUAUAUGCAUGCUCUGAUCUUCUCCCAUAUCUCAUCCUGUCUGACAGUUUGGGCUCAAGCAGCCCCAUCUACAAUAAAACACAUAAGAUCAUCAUACAAUCAAGCUCUGAAAAUUAUGGAUAAAAAAACAAUUCGAUGGCAUCAUCGUCUCAUUUUUUUUAAAUACAAUUUUUUGAGUGUUGAAAGCUUCAUAGAUCUUUGUUUCAUCAAAUUCAUCUUUAAAUGCCUCAGUAAAUCAGCGCCACAGCCACUCUGUGGAUUCAUCCAAAGACAUGACAGCAGAAGAGUCACCAGAAGCUCCACCAACAACAACCGCUAAAUACCGUACCGCAGAACUACAUUUAGACAGAGGCAGCCUUUUCAAUCAAAGGCUGUCACAUCUGGAACACAUUACCAAACGAAAUUAAUCAGAUAGCUGAUUUCAAAACUUUUACAGCAAAAAGUGAAGUAUUGGCUGAAAGAAAAACAAGAAUGUACCCAACUAUGACAUCUAUAAGGUCUGACUGACUGUGGAUCAUGUCAUUGUGCGUGUUUGUGUGUGUGGGUGGACGGGGGUUAUAGGUUUUUAAUGUUGUCUGUGCUGUUUUCAUUUGUGUUGUUGGUCCUUUGACUACUUUUACUUAAAAGCCCAACCAGGGACAGGAGUUGAAAAUUAGCUGAAUGCUAUACACUCUAUAUGUAAUGCAUCAGUUCUAUGUGUUCUAUGACAAUUGGUCCCUGAUCAAAUAAAUGAAUAAAUAAAAUAAAUGAAGAUGGAUCGAUGGA